RNAcentral lists this ribosomal RNA (253 nucleotides) under uncultured bacterium. RNAcentral describes it as "partial 16S ribosomal RNA". It matches the Rfam family "Bacterial small subunit ribosomal RNA", at positions 524 to 776 of the family's 1533-position model. The record is from RNAcentral.
UACGUAGGGGGCUAGCGUUGUCCGGAAUCAUUGGGCGUAAAGAGCGUGUAGGCUGCUCGGUAAGUCCGCUGUAAAAGUCAAAGGCUCAACCUUUGAAUGUCAGUGGAUACUGCCGGGCUAGAGUCCGGAAGAGGCGAGUGGAACUCCUGGUGUAGCGGUGGAAUGCGCAGAUAUCAGGAAGAACACCGGUGGCGAAGGCGGUUCUCUGGGCAUUACCUGACGCUGAGGAGCGAAAGUGUGGGGAGCGAACAGG